AGCAGUCUAUUGAGCGCUAAAACAACAAAUUUCCUUAACAGUUCCAUCGCGCAUAUCACUCUCGCUCAAACCCUAAUAAGCGAAAAACUCCCAAAAGAACAACUUCUCCUCUGCGAAUCUGAAACUCUCAAUUGUGUAUUUGCCAUUGAUAUUCAGUGGCAAAAAAGGACUCAAUUUCACUUCAUGUGCUGGAAUUUCGAAGGGGUAUACUGCUCAAUUUUAUGCUAAAACUUCCGAGGUAUUGUUGCACAGUAGCGCGCUCUGAAUGAAUCCUUAUCAACAUAUCCAGAAUAUUUGAGAAACAAAGUAGUUAAAGAAACUUGUGUUUCUUCUGAAGUAAAACCAUCUUAAUCUUUGAUGGUUUUGUUUAUCGGGCAUCGGUUGUGGACUACUCUGCCAAACCACCUGAGACUAGGAUGCCUUUUCGUGCCUUUAUUGAUGCUAGCCUUAUAAGGACACCUAUCGCAACUGAGUUUUUGGUGCUUUCAAGGUUUUUGCUUUGAGGGAUGCUGGGGAGUAGGCUGAAAAUGCAACUGCUUAUGUGACUUUGGAACCCUGCAAUCAUUAUGGAAAAACUCCUCCCUGUUCUGAGGCUUUGAUCAAAGCCAAAGUGAAGAGAGUUUUGGUUGGCAUGGUGGAUCCAAACCCCAUUAUUUCAUCUAGGGGGAUUACUAGGCUUCAAGAAGCAGGCAUUGAAGUAGUUGUUGGAGUUGAGGAAGAUUUAUGCAACAAGCUCAAUGAAGCAUUUAUUCACAAAAUGAUUUAUGGGAAGCCUUUUGUUACUCUCAGUGGUGGGAACAAGACUGAAUGUAGCUAGAAAUUGCUGAGAUUUUGAAGCGUAUAAUCCUCAAUUGUCUGCUGAAAUUUCUAGGCUAGAGGUACACGUUCUAUUUUUGUAUCGUACAACGUGAUAAAGGAGAAACGAAAGAAUGAAGCAACUUGGAACACUUGAGUCUACUACGAACAAUCGUCUAUAAAUAUGUAGCUAGUUCCUAGUUACUUAAUCUAGGCUUUAUUUUCUUUUACGUACUAUGAAUUUUAGUUUUUCUAGGCUUUAUUUUCUUUUACGUACUGUGAAUUUUAGUUUCUCUAGGCUUUAUUUUCUUUUACGUACUAUGAAUUUUAGUUUUUCUAGGCUUUAUUUUCUUUUACGUACUGUGUAUUUUAGUUUCUCUAGGCUUUAAAUAUAUUAGUAAUAUAAAUGUGUGCACGUACUAUGAA
This is a long non-coding RNA of Spinacia oleracea (spinach), 1221 nucleotides long. RefSeq lists it as uncharacterized. Lineage: Eukaryota; Viridiplantae; Streptophyta; Magnoliopsida; Caryophyllales; Amaranthaceae. The record is from RefSeq and is a predicted model, not a curated record. The transcript is spliced from 7 exons.